Molecule: transfer RNA, 68 nt
Filed under: Marmota monax (woodchuck)
Lineage: Eukaryota; Metazoa; Chordata; Mammalia; Rodentia; Sciuridae
Description: tRNA.Ala
Rfam family: tRNA
About the family: Transfer RNA (tRNA) molecules are approximately 80 nucleotides in length. Their secondary structure includes four short double-helical elements and three loops (D, anti-codon, and T loops).
Source: RNAcentral
GGAUGUGGUUCAGCUGGUAGAAUGCUUGCCUCGCAUGUACAAGGCCCUGGGUUCAAUUCCCAGCACCA